UACAUGUGGGGCAAGCGUUGUUCGGAAUUACUGGGCAUAAAGGGCGCGUAGGCGGCAAUUCAAGUCAGCUGUGAAAUCUCCGGGCUUAACUCGGAACGGUCAGCUGAUACUGCUUUGCUAGAGUGCAGAAGGGGCAAUCGGAAUUCCUGGUGUAGCGGUGAAAUGCGCAGAUAUCAGGAGGAACACCGGUGGCGAAGGCGGGUCUCUGGGCCGAUACUGACGCUGAGGUGCGAAAGCGUGGGGAGCAAACAGG
RNAcentral lists this ribosomal RNA (253 nucleotides) under uncultured bacterium. Its description in RNAcentral is "partial 16S ribosomal RNA". It matches the Rfam family "Bacterial small subunit ribosomal RNA", at positions 524 to 776 of the family's 1533-position model. The record is from RNAcentral.